This is a long non-coding RNA of Mus musculus (house mouse), 3283 nucleotides long. RefSeq annotates it as predicted gene, 38839. The transcript has 4 exons. The record is from RefSeq and is a predicted model, not a curated record. Lineage: Eukaryota; Metazoa; Chordata; Mammalia; Rodentia; Muridae.
GACUGGAGUUACAGUGCAAGGUAUUUAAUGGAGGGUCAUAAGCAAUGAAAUUCUUUGGGGAAUGAAAGACAUUCUCCCAAAGGUUAGAUGGAGAUGCUGUUUUCUGAAUCACUUUAAAAAGGUUGAUCUCACAUUAAUGGUUUCACAUAGCUCCUGGUCAAUGGGAGAAGUAAAAUUACAUAAACAGUUUUUCAGAUGUGAAACUGAGCCAUGUCUCUUCCAGGCAUCACACAGUGACUUAAUGUUGGUAUACGUGGGGCUGAAUUUAUCGCAUUUUCAACUUCACAUGUUUUCUAUGAGAUUAUGAUUCUCUUGUCCUGUCAUGACCGAUAUUUAUUGUGAAACAGUAGAAAUUAGAAUUCUAAUUUUUAUCACUGGAUUGCCUACAAGGUGAGGCACUGGAGUGAGCUCCAGACAGUCAACUUGACCAGGUAUCAUUUUUUUUUUUUUUUUUUGCUAUAAAUGUGAUAGUCUAUAGGCUAACUCCUGGUUAAUAUAAUGUAGUAUUUAUCAAAUAGCAUCCCACAUGAAUACUCCACUACUGUAAAGAUAUCUUCAGGUGAACUGAAUUUAGUGACUAGGCAUAUGGAAUAAUGAGGCCACAGGUUUUGUUACAGGAUUUGUUGUGUAAACAACCACUUUGAAUUCACAUGUGUGAUGGCUAAUGCUAAGUUUGAUCUUGACAGCAUCUAGAAUCAUCCAAGAGACAAACACCCAAGAAUAUCUCUUUGGGAGUCUCUAGAAUGAGUCAACUGAGGUAGGAGGGCCUACCCUGAGAGUGGCACCGUACUAUGGUCUGGUGAAUAAAAAAGAGAAACUGAGUUGGAAAUUAACAUUUAUGUCUCUCUGCUUCCUGACUUAGGAUGCAAUGUGGUGAGUAGCUCCUGAUACCAUGCCUUUCCUGCCAUGAUGGAGAGGAAGCCUUCAAACUGUGAGCCAAAACACCUCCCCCCAAGUUUGCUUUUGUUGGGUAUUUUGUGACACUAAUGAGAAAAGUAAGCAAUAUACUCAUAUCUACAACAAAAGUCCCCAACUUUUUCUACCUGGAUGGCAGAUCAUAAGAAGACAAUUUGAAGCUGUAGUUUCCAGAUGGCUGAAUGGGAGUGGGUAGGGUAGGCAGGAGCAGCCUGUGGAGUCCGAGGAGGUGGUAGGGCCCUGGCACUAGGAUCCAGAUGUUUCCAUAUUAGAUGCUGGGGAUGGAAGGCCAACUGGGACCAUUUGUUAACACUCAGAGAAGCAGCAUAUAAUAUGAUGUUCUCAGCAACCAUUUGCCAAAGAAAACAUUACCCAGUUGCAGAAAAAGACACCAUUAAAUGAACAAACCAAAUUGCUUUGCAGAUUAAAAUUUCCAGUCAGUCAGAUUUUCACAAAUAAAACUCCGUAACUCUUCUUUCCAAACAUUUUCCCCUUUGAGUUAGAUUUGUUAGGAAAAUCCUUGGGUUAUCAAGGCUCCUGUCAGCAGCGGUGAGCAUGCCUUAGAACGGCUGAAUCACUCUUUUGAAUUUGGGCCAUCAUUUUGAAGCUGGUAUUCAUAGACAAAAGAAAGGCUCUGAGACUCUCUGCAUUUAACUUUCAGUUGAAAACAGUGGAAAAAAAUCUGUAUCUAAAUUAACAGUCGGAUGUGCUGUCUUCUCUAUGGCUGGCAGGUCUGGUGGAGGACCUGUUUUUUUCACGUUUCUGUUGCUUUCAGACUUCAAAGAUAAGCAGCAAAUGGUUUCUAUUUUUUCUUCUCAUGGCCAAAACCACUGGGAGAAUCUUUGAAAAGCACUUCUCAGUACAGGAUCCCCCCCCUCCCCCCCUGUCUGCAUCGUGGUUGAAUCUUGCUUGUCGUACACAAUGGGAUUUGAGUAUGUUUUAUGUUUCCUGAUUAGUGGUUCUGAUUAACACAGAUGAUCAUUGGCAAUAACUGUUGCUAGUUUUUGGACUUCACAUAAACACACAUGAAUGUGGCUGACAGGAAAGUAGUUAAUAACAAGGCUGCAGUGUAGCCAAGCUACAUUGUCAGGGAAGAAAUGUAGGCUCCAUUCCUAGUCUGGCCUCUGAGGGAUCAUCGGAGCAGACAGGAGCUGGCCGCGUGGGAAACUGUUGCUUGGUGUUUUUGCCCUCAAACCAAGGAAGGAAUCAGAUUUCUAGUUCCAGAAUUAUACUUUUCCUUUAACAUUCCUUUGGGAUUUGAAGUAUGUAAUCAAUAACAAGGGUGUGCUUCUGGACCAUUGACUGUUGUUAUAGGUCUUUCUCAGCAGGAUGGAAGUUGGAAAAACAGUACACAGUUCGAUAGGAGUGUGUUGUGUCUAUCCGAUCAGAGUAUUUAUCAUGACAGAAGUUUGAAGAUGAGAAAACAUUUAAAAAUUUCACUUCUUCAUGGCAGGUGGCAAGCUGUCUUUGUGCCGGGUGGUGAAUAGGCUUCUCCUCACUUACAGAGGCCUAUAGGGCUGCACGAAAGAGGCCUUUGCUGACGAGACAGAAGCCGAGAUGCAGAGAUAAAGUCGUUGUCCUUGAGUUACGGACCCACACAGUGUCAAAGACAGGAACUCAGGUUUUCUAAUUCCCGGUUCUGUGAAACACCAGCUUUUAUAUUCUCUCUAUCUCAGUUUCAUAGUGUCUUCAGUAAAUCAGGCCCAAGAGCCACAAUACAAAUGCUGACUGUCAAACACCCGCACUUAACACACUGUAAAUGGGCUGUCAGGAUCCACAGGACAAGAGUUUAAAAUAAAUGUUCAGGAGUCUGAGUCAAGAAAGUGGACUGACCCAGUGCUUUUAAACCCUGCUCCCACCCUAAAUCUCCCAGAUGUGGUCAAGAGACUCGAAAAGCCUGGGAACAAUUCUGUGUAAGUUGCAGAAUAAGGAGGCGUGCCCUCCAUCUGCCAGAGGCAUCUCAGCAAGAAGCAGUGUAGACAAGCUGCAGAAGGAGUCCCAGCCAGCAGGGAAUCUGUGGAGGAGCCAGAACUGGCGUGAGUGUAACCCUGAACAGAGUGCCACACACAAGCUGUGACAGACAAUGACUGGAGCAAGAUUCUGAGACAAGCUGUGAGAGUUCCUUCCCAGCUCAGAUCUUCAUGCUUUCCCACUUUCCCCUAGCUACAUCUCUCAUCACUAGAAAUACUGUGAAGCCUUUCAGGAUAUGGAUGAAGGGUUACUUACAUCAGCAGAGAUGACUCAAAGACAGCUGCAUCACCAAAGCUCACCACAGCCGUGGUGACAAAACCUGGAAGCCUGGAACACAAGGCACAGCGUACAGGCAGCUCAACAGGUUGGAGAGUGUCCUUUCCAAGUGCCAUAGUAG